AUCUCCCAAGGCUAAAUACUCCCUAGUGACCGAUAGUGAACCAGUACCGUGAGGGAAAGGUGAAAAGCACCCCGGAAGGGGAGUGAAAGAGAUCCUGAAACCGUGUGCCUACAAGUAGUCAGAGCCCGUUAACGGGUGAUGGCGUGCCUUUUGUAGAAUGAACCGGCGAGUUACGAUCCCGUGCAAGGUUAAGCAGAAGAUGCGGAGCCGCAGCGAAAGCGAGUCUGAAUAGGGCGCAUGAGUACGUGGUCGUAGACCCGAAACCAGGUGAUCUACCCAUGUCCAGGGUGAAGUUCAGGUAACACUGAAUGGAGGCCCGAACCCACGCACGUUGAAAAGUGCGGGGAUGAGGUGUGGGUAGGGGUGAAAUGCCAAUCGAACCUGGAGAUAGCUG
This 394-nucleotide ribosomal RNA is filed under the name Xanthomonas citri pv. citri. RNAcentral describes it as "partial 23S ribosomal RNA". It matches the Rfam family "Bacterial large subunit ribosomal RNA", at positions 455 to 851 of the family's 2925-position model. Lineage: Bacteria; Pseudomonadati; Pseudomonadota; Gammaproteobacteria; Lysobacterales; Lysobacteraceae. The record is from RNAcentral.